Molecule: ribosomal RNA, 655 nt
Filed under: Massilia sp. AT-MI-51
Lineage: Bacteria; Pseudomonadati; Pseudomonadota; Betaproteobacteria; Burkholderiales; Oxalobacteraceae
Description: bacterial SSU rRNA
Rfam family: Bacterial small subunit ribosomal RNA
Source: RNAcentral
GCGAACGGGUGAGUAAUAUAUCGGAGCGUACCCAGGAGUGGGGGAUGACGUAACUCAAGUUACGCUAAUACCGCACACGAUCUACGGAUGAAAGCGCGGGACCUUCAGGCCUUGAGCUCCUGGAGCGUCCGAUAUCUGAUUAGCUAGUUGGUGAGGUAAAGGCUCACCAAGGCGCACCAUCACUAGCUGGUCUGACAGGACCACCAUCCACACUGUGAACUGACACACGGUCCAUACUCCUACGGGAGGCAGCAGUGGGGAAUUUUGGACAAUGGGCUGCACGCCUGAGCCAGCAAUGCCGCGUGAGUGAAGAAGGCCUUCGGGUUGUAGAGCUCUUUUGUCAGGGAACAAACGGCUGUGGCUAACAUCCACGGCUAAUGACGGUACCUGAAUAAUAAGCACCGGCUAACUACGUGCCAGCAGCCGCGUUAAUACGUACGGUGCAAUCGUUAAUCGGAAUUACUGGUCGUAAAGCGUGCGCAGGCGGUUUUGUACGUCUGUCGUGAAAUCCCCGGGCUCAACCUGGGAAUUGCGAUGGAGACUGCUCGGCUAGAAUCUGGCAGAUUGAGGUAGAAUUACACGUGUAGCAUUGAAAUGCGUACAGAUGUGGACGAACACCGAUGGAGGAAGCACCCCCCUGGGUCAAGAUUGACGC